RNAcentral lists this ribosomal RNA (463 nucleotides) under Ammonia sp. T15. RNAcentral's name for it is "SSU rRNA". It matches the Rfam family "Eukaryotic small subunit ribosomal RNA", at positions 1176 to 1448 of the family's 1831-position model. Lineage: Eukaryota; Foraminifera; Rotaliida; Rotaliidae. The record is from RNAcentral.
GUGGAGCAUGUGGCUUAAUUUGACUCAGCGCGGGAAAUCUUACCGGGUCCGGACACACUGAGGAUUGACAGAUAUACGCUGCGUUAUGUCUCUCACGGGACUGCGUGGCUCAAAGAUGCUAGUUCUUUCAUGAUUAUGUGAUAGGUGGUGCAUGGCCGUUCUUAGUUCGUGGAGUGAUCUGUCUGCUUAAUUGCGUAUCAAUAAUAGAGACCUAGUAUACGUGCAUUACUCAUGUGGUAGUGACCCCCUCUUCGCGGAGGCGCGUGUCGCACAUAUGGUAUGCGCACUGGUCUCAGAUAGCAACGAACGUGACCGUAUUCUAUUGUUGCAGUGAAUUAUACGUGCUGCUCUUUACCGAGUUAGUUACAUCCCACUGCUUAGUGUGCGCGGCGUAUUUCGGUACUCGCGUUACACAUUAAACUAUAGAGACCGCUGUUUCUUCUUUAAACCAGAGGAAGGAUAC